RNAcentral lists this transfer RNA (73 nucleotides) under Canis lupus familiaris (dog). It matches the Rfam family "tRNA". Rfam says of the family: Transfer RNA (tRNA) molecules are approximately 80 nucleotides in length. Lineage: Eukaryota; Metazoa; Chordata; Mammalia; Carnivora; Canidae. The record is from Rfam by way of RNAcentral. RNAcentral also lists the same sequence under 1 other name.
UCCUUGCUGGCUCAGUAGGUAGAGCAUGCGGCUCUUGAUCUCGAGGUCAUGAGUUUGAGCCCCAUGUUGGGUA